UAAGUUUUGCUCUUUAGCGUCCGUCCAAUCGAUGCAAAGUGUCAAAUGGAAAAAAAAUCACACUUCACCGCAGUGUCAGUCUAAUUGGCGAUACCCAACUUCAAAUUAAACCUCCUAGCUAGUAGUGUUAGCAAUGAAGGACACCUAUCUUCGCCACCUCCCCAUUUCGUACGCCUCCCCUGUGCACCCCACUCGUCCUCCUAUCACACCUCUCCCCCACAUCCCCCCAUCGUCGCUCCACCAUGUUGUUGUGUCACCUUUGCGACACCCUUCGCAUAUGCAUGUCAUCUUUGUCACCACCCACCCUCGUCAGUUACAUCUACUGCCUCCACCGACACUCCCAUCUCAUGUGCUCAAAAAUGGGUCAUAUCAAACUUCACAGCUCACUGCUGUCUCACUGGUCGACGCUAUCAAGCUAAAAACUGAAGCUAUAAUCGAUUUAGUGUCAGCUUCACGUCGAUAUCGCGACUGACUUUAAAGGCUCAAAGAUAAUGUGUAAGGACCAUGUGGUCGACGCUACAUAUAUAUUAGUGUCAAUUUAGCUAACUCUAAGCAGGGACGGAUCCAUAAAUUUGAUAUUGUGAGGGCAAUAUAUACAUAUAAAUUCGUAAUAAAAAAAAUUACACAUAUUGUAUUAGAAGUGAGAGCAUUUUUUAAUCAAAGGGGCACAAGUGAGAGAAUUUUUUACCAAAUGUCUAUAAAACACCACAUACUUUUAAUACUCACGUGAGGACAUUUAGCAAUGUAGAAUACAAGUGAGGACAUUUUUUUAUUAAAGAAGCCAUAAAAAAUCACAUACUUUUACUACUCAAAAUUUUUCUAAUGAUUAUUUUCAAAAUCAAGUGAGGGCACCUGCCCUCAUAGUAGCCUACCUACACCUGUCCUUGACUCUAAGGUUACACAAUUUUUUGAGGAUGUCUAACACAAAUUUUUAGCUAUUCUCAUCAAUUAUAUAAGCUGACAUUAAUUAGCAUUGGUGGUGACCAGUACUAAUAUUAAUUACCAAUGCAUAAAUGAUAAUGAUGUACACUUUUCAACCACAAUUUACGGGACCCUAAAUUAGUUUCUCUCAGCCAUGCCAAACCCUAUAGUAAGAGAGUCAAUUUAGGAUCCUUCAAACUGUCAUCAAAUUGUGUAAGACAUCACUAAGUUUGAAUUGCCAAUGACAACCAACAAGUUGAAGCUAAGAUGAACAACUAAGAACAUAAUUCGUCCAUCACCGUAAAACAUCAUAGCAAUACAUUGACCCAAGAUAAGAUCUAAAAGUCUCAAUCAAAUUAGUCAUCAGAAGUUCAAAGUACAUCACAUAUAAUUGUAACUUGACAUUUGGCACUCACGAAAUGGGUCGUACCCUAACAUAUUAGCAUCGAUCUCCACAGUGCUAAUAUUACUAGUAAUGUCUACUCACUUACAAUUAACACCGGUUAACCGGUGUUAAUUGUAGGCGAGUAGACAUUACGUGGACUGGUGAUUUUAGCAUCUCUCAACCGACACUAAUUUCAUAUGAGUACUUUUCUUGGUCAAAUUGAGUAAGCUUUUCUUUAAUUCUACCAACUCAAUAUAGCCAUCUUUAACAUCCAUGUCAUGGGCGCCCAUGCUAAUUUUGGAUGCUAAAACAACUUUUUAUUGUAAUUGUCGCUGAAGGAGAGAGACACGCAAAGGGAGAGAGUGAUUGUAUCUCACUCAUCAUGACUUUUCAUAUUAGUCAACCACAAAUCUUCUCUAUCAACUACUCAUUAUUCACUAUCAAAUUAAUAUUGAAUUUAAUAGCUCCACAUAGUACUAGUAAAACUAAAUGAGAGUAUAUCGAAGUAAAAUUACACGAUCAAUAAUUACUCCCUCCGGUCCUAUUUAUAAGCAUGAAAGAGAAGAAAAAUCUUGGUCCUUUUUAUAAGAACCAAAUGGAAGUUUGAGCUAUAUUAAUUAUUUUUUUCCAAUGAUGCCCUUAUUAAUUCUAGCUUGUAAAAUGUGUCUCAUUAAUUAUUCUCUCUCUUUCCCACUUUCCAACACUAAUAACAAAGGGUAAUUUUGGAAGUUUAUUUUGAUUCAAGACAUAUUUAAUGCAUUUUAUCUAGUUUAACUACAUUUCUUAAACUAUGUGAUUUUUUUUUGCUGCUUAUAAAUAAGACCGGAGGGAGUAUCAUCUUACUCUUUGUGCUACCUUUUUAAACAACAAUCUUUAUAGAAUCAUUGUAGUAAUUAUGAAACUUCAUAACACUCUUUCCAUUUCCGUCCUUCCUUGGAGUUUGGAGCACACACAUGCUUUCUUUCCAUGGCUAUAAAUACCACUUAGGCUGUGGUCUUCUAAGUAUCAAUUCCUUCAACUCCUUCCCUAAACGCUCAUCUUCGCCACCCUUAACCAAACUCUCUUUUGCCUUAAAUUGUUUCAUUGCACUCCCAUCCUCACAUUUUAUUAUCCAUGGCACAUUUUGCUCGCAUUUGCUUCCUCUUUGUACUAUUGGUUUUGUCUCAUGAACUGCUCAGUGUUGAGGGUAGGAACUUGAGACAAAACAUUCAGUCACCAAACGCAGCCCCUACAAGAAGUGCUUUUGCCAGCCCAAGCCCGGUGGACCGUGGUGUUAGAAGCUUGGAAGGAGAUGCUGAAGCUUUUCGACCCACAACACCUGGCCACAGUCCUGGUGUUGGUCACUCAGUCAACAAUUAAUCAGUUAAUGCCAAUGAAGCUGUUUCAUCCAUCAAUAUCAUGUACUGUUAUGUUAUUUUUCAAUGUUCUACUGCUAUGUUAUUUUUCAAUAUAUUUUAGUUAUAUUUGUUUGGUAA
Long non-coding RNA from Lotus japonicus, 2781 nucleotides. RefSeq lists it as uncharacterized. The record is from RefSeq and is a predicted model, not a curated record. The transcript has 2 exons. Lineage: Eukaryota; Viridiplantae; Streptophyta; Magnoliopsida; Fabales; Fabaceae.